This 157-nucleotide non-coding RNA is filed under the name human gut metagenome. Its description in RNAcentral is "Lysine riboswitch". It matches the Rfam family "Lysine riboswitch aptamer". Rfam says of the family: Riboswitches are metabolite binding domains within certain messenger RNAs that serve as precision sensors for their corresponding targets. Allosteric rearrangement of mRNA structure is mediated by ligand binding, and this results in modulation of gene expression. The record is from RNAcentral.
GAAUAGAGGCGCGAUAACGAAGAGUAGCGCGGGCGAGGCUGCCGAAGCCGACGAACCCGUGCGAAAGGCGUUGUUGCCGAAGCUUCCGGCCGCGGCGGGUACGGUUGCUGGGCAGCAGGGAAAUACCUUGUUGACUGUCGCAAAUGCGGAGUGCUAU